Molecule: transfer RNA, 68 nt
Filed under: Metapenaeopsis dalei
Lineage: Eukaryota; Metazoa; Arthropoda; Malacostraca; Decapoda; Penaeidae
Description: tRNA-Leu
Rfam family: tRNA
About the family: Transfer RNA (tRNA) molecules are approximately 80 nucleotides in length. Their secondary structure includes four short double-helical elements and three loops (D, anti-codon, and T loops).
Source: RNAcentral
GUUGCUUUGGCAGAAUUAUGCAUUGGACUUAGGAUCCAACAAUGUGGGUGUGACUUCCACAAGUAAUA